GACGAACGCUGGCGGCGUGCUUAACACAUGCAAGUCGAACGGAAAGGCCCUGCUUUUGUGGGGUGCUCGAGUGGCGAACGGGUGAGUAACACGUGAGUAACCUGCCCUUGACUUUGGGAUAACUUCAGGAAACUGGGGCUAAUACCGGAUAGGAGCUCCUGCUGCAUGGUGGGGGUUGGAAAGUUUCGGCGGUUGGGGAUGGACUCGCGGCUUAUCAGCUUGUUGGUGGGGUAGUGGCUUACCAAGGCUUUGACGGGUAGCCGGCCUGAGAGGGUGACCGGCCAAAUUGGGACUGAGAUACGGCCCAGACUCCUACGGGAGGCAGCCGUGGGGAAUAUUGCACAAUGGGCGGAAGCCUGAUGCAGCAACGCCGCGUGCGGGAUGACGGCCUUCGGGUUGUAAACCGCUUUCGCCUGUGACGAAGCGUGAGUGACGGUAAUGGGUAAAGAAGCACCGGCUAACUACGUG
RNAcentral lists this ribosomal RNA (468 nucleotides) under uncultured bacterium. RNAcentral's name for it is "partial 16S ribosomal RNA". It matches the Rfam family "Bacterial small subunit ribosomal RNA", at positions 28 to 507 of the family's 1533-position model. The record is from RNAcentral.